This 258-nucleotide unclassified non-coding RNA is filed under the name uncultured fungus. RNAcentral describes it as "sequence contains ITS2". Lineage: Eukaryota; Fungi. The record is from RNAcentral.
AACGCAAGUUGCGCCCUCGAGAUAGCCUUGAGGGCAUGCCUCUUUGAGUAUCGGUUUAUCAAAAUUUCACUUCGUCGUGAAGUCAAUGGGUCAAUUGCCGCCGUGCGAUUGUCUUCAAGUUGAUUCGCUCCGGCAGUAUUCUUUGUUGAAUCGCGUCGCCGUUUCUUGGAUAACGAGUUAAACGCUUCGCGCCUUGCCGGGCAAACACUUUUAAACACUACAGAUCUCAAAUGAGGUAAGACUACCCGCUGAAUUUAA